Molecule: non-coding RNA, 46 nt
Filed under: Schistosoma margrebowiei
Lineage: Eukaryota; Metazoa; Platyhelminthes; Trematoda; Strigeidida; Schistosomatidae
Source: RNAcentral
GCAUUACUUAAGAGUCCCACAAUAGAACGAAACGGCCGUCCAGUGC